UAUUGCAAUAUUUCUAGGGAUGUGAGGAUGCAUUGUUUGACUACCUCAAAGAUCACAUGGCAAUCGUCGGCGGGCUGGCCGCUGGCGUGGCUGUUAUUCAGGUAUAUUACACCCUUAAAUAACAGUCCCUUUUAAAAAAUUAGCCUGGUAAUGCAUAAAAUAUAAACUAAUGGAGUUGUGCAAGGUAGCUAGUUUUCGAAUCGGCCAAUAGACCUUUCGGCUUUCCCCUUAUGAGUGAAAUUUUGAUCUAGAUAUGCCUGGACAAAAAUUUCAUCAGCUUGAAACUCAGUUGAGUUACUAUUUUAUUGUGCUUGUGUGAUGUUACUCUGAGUGUAUAUCCACACCGGGCAGGCUUGAAAAAUAUGCUUGGCCACGGUGGGAUUCGAACCUACGACCUUUGGAAUACUAGCCCAUUGCUCUGCCAACUGAGCUACGCGGUCAGGUCGGUUCGAGUAUGCGAUAUUUCGGAACUGAGUCUAGUUCCUUCGAUAUCAGUGUAAUCUAAUAAUCAUAAAUUCACCUGAGUACAUUACACCAACACAGCAAAUUUCAUGAUUAUUAGAUUACACUGAUAUCGAAGGAACUAGACUCAGUUCCGAAAUAUAUCACAUACUCGAACCGACCUGACCGCGUAGCUCAGUUGGCAGAGCAAAUGGGCUAGUAUUCCAAAGGUCGUAGGUUCGAAUCCCACCGUGGCCAGGCAUAUUUUUCAAGCCUACCCGGUGUGGAUGUACACUCAGAGUAACAUCACACAAGCAUCUUAUUCACCCGAGUACAUUACUCCAACACAGCAAAUUACUAUUUUAUUGUUUUCAAUUACAGAUUAUCGGCAUUGUGUUCGCCUGUCUUGUGCGCCGUGACGUGAAAGAAGGCUACGGUUAUGUGUAAUUCUAUACAUUAAAAAUAACUUUGUUAGAACUGACUCAAUUGUACACUGCACAAGCAAUCAUUUGUAUAUCCUCGUUAAUUUGUAGUAAUAUAGCUUAUGACGUAGACAGUGUGUAUUUGGGCUUUAUUACAUACACGACUAGUCGUGAUUUCAAUAUUUUUUGAAAUAAUAACUUAUAUAAUAACUUAAUACGAUACAGGUACUAUAUCUUGAUUUAACUAAAGAUUUUGAAUGGCAUGGUCCUCAUAUUAAAUAGUGAAAAUUAUAUUAACAAUCGUAUACUCGUGUGAGUAAUUUCCAAUAAGAAACGGUACUUCCUAUAACCGUGUUUCCUGAAGGUGGGCUUGGCCAUCCAGGAAAUAUUGUUUGCUAGUCAUAUUUGGAAUUUUUUGUUACCUAGUCGUAUGUUUAGGAUGUGGACAAACCAGGAAGCAUUGUUCUGCCUGGAUGAAAAGAGGAUGAGAGUUUGUCAGUCAUGCGAACCUGGUUAGCUGUUCUUCAUACUUUCCCUCGUGUAUUCUAUUUAAGUUCAGUAAAACAUAGGUGGAACACUCCAUGUUUCCAGAAGAUGGUCAUAACAAAUGAGGAAACAUUGUUUGAUAGCCAUUUGUUUGGAAACAUUUGUUUGGAAACAUUGUUAAAGUGUACUGAAUUAGCAUUUCUCGCGAAGGCCAAAAUCCGCUAUUUUGUGGUACUGUCUGCCCUGGUAAAAGUUCUAAAUGGGCAGAAUCGCAAAAAUAGCGGGAAAAUCGGCCGUGAGAAAGGCUAAUUGAACCUUGUCCAUUCCAUUUUAAUACCGAACCUCUGGGGAGGGGGGGGAGGGGG
Molecule: long non-coding RNA, 1714 nt
Filed under: Paramuricea clavata
Lineage: Eukaryota; Metazoa; Cnidaria; Anthozoa; Malacalcyonacea; Plexauridae
Rfam family: tRNA (bases 626-699)
Source: RNAcentral